Molecule: long non-coding RNA, 1478 nt
Organism: Panthera uncia (snow leopard)
Lineage: Eukaryota; Metazoa; Chordata; Mammalia; Carnivora; Felidae
Exons: 5
Source: RefSeq, a predicted model, not a curated record
ACAGCAUUCCAGGGGUCUGGCUGGACUGACUUCCACCACUGUUGAACCUGCCUUCUUCCUCUCUGCUUCUUCAGUUCCACACCACAGGUUCCAGAUCAUCCCAGUGAUGCCAAUCCUGGUACGACUAACUUUUUUUUAUGGAACACUCAUGUUUUACAGCCCUGAGAUGCCAUAUAAGAAUACAACUGUCCGGAGACUGCCACGCUGGCAAGCUACAUGUGGACAUUCUGGUCAAAACACUGCAGCUGACAACAGUCCAGACAACAGUCUGCUUCCAGUGUCAGCCAUAUGGAUGCGCUGUCUUGGCCACUGAGUCCAGUGGAGCCUUUGGAUGAUGACAGUAAUAACUAACAACUGACCGCAAUUUCAUGAGAAGCCCCAAGCAAGGACUGCCCGGUGAAGAGUUUACAAAUCCCCGACUCAUAAAAUUGUGAGCAAAAAACACCAGUCAUUCCAAACUGCCCAAUUUUGGGGUUAACUGGUAUGCAGCAAUAGUAACCUGAACACCACAGAGGUGAACUCACUGGGUUUCCAACACCCAUGUUCCUCUUUUCCCAUUGCAAGCCAAUGCCUGGGAGGCAUGGUAAAGUAUGCUGAGAGUGACCUUCAGUUUCCUCAUAUCAUCUUGACACAAAUGAGCCAGGCACUUGUAAUUUUCAUUAUUCGCCACAAGAAGAGGAGCUUCUCUCAGUAGGAAAUAUACAACAUCCAAAAAUAUAGAGGUAUUUUAUGUAUCUCAUGAGUGGUUACUUAAAGAAGGUUGAAGGGUUGGAGAAUCAAUGGAGAAGGUGACGAGUGAAGGAGAGAAAAUUAUAGCCAAACUGCCACCAUGCAGAGGGUGACGUGAUUUACCCAAGGCAAAAUUCAUUUGUCAUGAUGAAGGAUUCCUCAGUUCUAAAGACUGAAUAUGCAUAAUAGAUAUACUUGGAGGCUGACUCAGGAUCAGUUCUCCUAAAAGAAGUUCAACUGAGUAGCAUGUAGGAAUCAUAUGCAAAGAAGCUUCUCGAUGCAGGACAGAGCACAGCCUCAGGAAGGUCACACAGGUCAAGCUGAUUACCUCCUCCAGCUCUGGCAAGCAGAGGGCUCAGCUGGGUUACCCAAGUUCACAAGGAGCUAUUGACAUUCAGCUUCAGCUCUCACUCAUUACAGAUCAGCAGGGGACUGUCUGGGCCUUAGGUUAACUCUUCCCUGCCCUCUUUCAAGAUUGCAGUGAGGCUAAAAAUGAAAAGAAGCUGCACGGUAACAUGGACACAGUUUAUGCCUGGUUAUUAUUCAAGAGAUGAACCUUUUCAACCAAUAUCUAAUAAACCUCUUCCAAGGGAAGCAACAAUAGCCUUCAUCAUUUUGCAAGUAAAUGUGUUUGUCCCACAUUUGUUCAUUAUGCAGUAAAUGUUUAUUUUGGAGGAGGAUGGUAGUGGGGAGGAUGUUUUAUCUUCCCAUGGAUCAUUCCCACUUCGGCUUUGAGAAAGGAAGCCCCA